Molecule: ribosomal RNA, 496 nt
Filed under: uncultured bacterium
Lineage: Bacteria
Description: partial 16S ribosomal RNA
Rfam family: Bacterial small subunit ribosomal RNA
Source: RNAcentral
GAUGAACGCUGGGGCGGGGCCUAUUCCUUCAAAGUGGAGGGAAAGAAGAGGGAGUUUGUUCCUCGGCGGUUGGCGGCGGAGGGGGGGGUAACCGGUGGUUAACUUACCUUUAGGACUGGGUUACCUUGGGGAACCGGGGGCUAUUCCGGGAUAUUAUAUUAAACGGCAUGGUUCAAUGGUGAAGGAGGGUUUUGUUGUCCUUUUUAGAUGGAUCCGCGCCGCAUUAGCUAGUUGGUAAGGUAACGGCUUACCAAGGCAACGAUGCGUAGCCGACCUGAGAGGGUGAUCGGCCACACUGGAACUGAGACACGGUCCAGACUCCUACGGGAGGCAGCAGUAGGGAAUCUUCCGCAAUGGGCGAAAGCCUGACGGAGCAACGCCGCGUGAGUGAUGAAGGUCUUCGGAUCGUAAAACUCUGUUAUUAGGGAAGAACAAAUGUGUAAGUAACUAUGCACGUCUUGACGGUACCUAAUCAGAAAGCCACGGCUAACUACGU